GACGAACGCUGGCGGCGUGCUUAACACAUGCAAGUCGAACGGAAAGGCCCUGCUUUUGUGGGGUGCUCGAGUGGCGAACGGGUGAGUAACACGUGAGUAACCUGCCCUUGACUUUGGGAUAACUUCAGGAAACUGGGGCUAAUACCGGAUAGGAGCUCCUGCUGCAUGGUGGGGGUUGGAAAGUUUCGGCGGUUGGGGAUGGACUCGCGGCUUAUCAGCUUGUUGGUGGGGUAGUGGCUUACCAAGGCUUUGACGGGUAGCCGGCCUGAGAGGGUGACCGGCGACAUUGGGACUGAGAUACGGCCCAGACUCGUACGGGAGGCAGCAGUGGGGAAUAUUGCACAAUGGGCGGAAGCCUGAUGAAGCAACGCCGCGUGCGGGAUGACGGCCUUCGGGUUGUAAACCGCUUUCGCCUGUGACGAAGCGUGAGUGACGGUAAUGGGUAAAGAAGCACCGGCUAACUACGUG
This 468-nucleotide ribosomal RNA is filed under the name uncultured bacterium. RNAcentral describes it as "partial 16S ribosomal RNA". It matches the Rfam family "Bacterial small subunit ribosomal RNA", at positions 28 to 507 of the family's 1533-position model. The record is from RNAcentral.